This 76-nucleotide transfer RNA is filed under the name Sphaerodactylus townsendi. Its description in RNAcentral is "tRNA-Ala". It matches the Rfam family "tRNA". Rfam says of the family: Transfer RNA (tRNA) molecules are approximately 80 nucleotides in length. The record is from RNAcentral. Lineage: Eukaryota; Metazoa; Chordata; Lepidosauria; Squamata; Sphaerodactylidae.
GGAGGAACUGUGGCUCAGUGGCAGAGCAUCCGCUCGGCAUGCAGAAGGUCUCAGGUUCAAUCCCCCGGCACCUUCA